GACAGAGGGUGCAAACGUUGUUCGGAUUUACUGGGCGUAAAGCGCGUGUAGGCGGCCUUGCAAGUCGGAUGUGAAAGCCCACGGCUCAACCGUGGAAGUGCAUCCGAAACUGCAUAGCUUGAGUCUCGGAGAGGAAGGUGGAAUGCUUGGUGUAGAGGUGAAAUUCGUAGAUAUCAAGCAGAACACCUGCGGCGAAGGCGGCCUUCUGGACGAUGACUGACGCUGAGACGCGAAAGCGUGGGGAGCGAACAGG
Molecule: ribosomal RNA, 253 nt
Filed under: uncultured bacterium
Lineage: Bacteria
Description: partial 16S ribosomal RNA
Rfam family: Bacterial small subunit ribosomal RNA
Source: RNAcentral